RNAcentral lists this unclassified non-coding RNA (193 nucleotides) under uncultured fungus. Its description in RNAcentral is "sequence contains ITS1". Lineage: Eukaryota; Fungi. The record is from RNAcentral.
UUAACUAUUUUAUAGUACUCAGACGACACUGUAUAAUUCAGAGUUUUGGGUUCUCUGGCGGGCACUCACCAGCCGAAGCCGGUAGCCGAAGCGGCCCGCCAAAGCAACAAAGGUUUAUAUAUUCAAGGGUGGGAGAUCUACCCGUUAGGGCAUGAACUCAGUAAUGAUCCUUCCGCAGGUUCACCUACGGAAA